RNAcentral lists this non-coding RNA (22 nucleotides) under Rattus norvegicus (Norway rat). Lineage: Eukaryota; Metazoa; Chordata; Mammalia; Rodentia; Muridae. The record is from RNAcentral.
UUGAAGCCUUUCCUGUAAGAAA